RNAcentral lists this ribosomal RNA (489 nucleotides) under Lodderomyces parapsilosis. Its description in RNAcentral is "eukaryotic LSU rRNA". The stretch from base 136 to 289 matches the Rfam family "5.8S ribosomal RNA". The record is from RNAcentral. Lineage: Eukaryota; Fungi; Ascomycota; Pichiomycetes; Serinales; Debaryomycetaceae.
GCUUACUGCAUUUUUUCUUACACAUGUGUUUUUCUUUUUUUGAAACUUUGCUUUGGUAGGCCUUCUAUAUGGGGCCUGCCAGAGAUUAAACUCAACCAAAUUUUAUUUAAUGUCAACCGAUUAUUUAAUAGUCAAAACUUUCAACAACGGAUCUCUUGGUUCUCGCAUCGAUGAAGAACGCAGCGAAAUGCGAUAAGUAAUAUGAAUUGCAGAUAUUCGUGAAUCAUCGAAUCUUUGAACGCACAUUGCGCCCUUUGGUAUUCCAAAGGGCAUGCCUGUUUGAGCGUCAUUUCUCCCUCAAACCCUCGGGUUUGGUGUUGAGCGAUACGCUGGGUUUGCUUGAAAGAAAGGCGGAGUAUAAACUAAUGGAUAGGUUUUUUCCACUCAUUGGUACAAACUCCAAAACUUCUUCCAAAUUCGACCUCAAAUCAGGUAGGACUACCCGCUGAACUUAAGCAUAUCAAUAAGCGGAGGGAAAAGAAAAAAAAG